GGGCCAGUGGCGCAAAAAGGAUAACUCGCCUGACUACGGAUCAGGGAGAUUCCAGGUUCGAAUCCCUGGCUGGCUCG
Non-coding RNA from Caerostris extrusa, 77 nucleotides. NCBI's taxonomy places the organism in Eukaryota, Metazoa, Arthropoda, Arachnida, Araneae, Araneidae. The record is from the annotation of a GenBank genome assembly.